GUGUGCCCUUCCCUUUUCUGAACUCAGCAUGAUGCCACUCAUAGGAUCCCUAGGGCUCAGGGUUUUCAUUGAGGGAAAAAGGUACUAGUGAUGGACUAGUGAUACCGCUGGUUACCAAUGACAAGUUCUGCUUUCCCAGAUGUUGAAUUUUGAACAGCAGAGAAGCACGGAGGCAAGCACAGAAAGCAAGUUUUAUUUAAAGAAUAAUAACAGACUCCUUUGGGGAGGAAAAAGGGGGCCAAGACUGGUAUCCAAAGAAGUGGGAGUGUUCUGCCCCUUUUAUAAAUUUUAGAUUCUCUUUGUACUCCUGCCCACUUCCCCCUUAUCUCCCUCCAUCUAGUGUAAGUGACAAGUUCUGGGAGAAUGCGCCAAAAAGGGGGAAACAAAAACAAUUAUUGGGGCAGGUUACCCUGCCAACAGAUUAGAGCAGGAGCAGGGGGAACACUUUGGAUGAAAGUGGGGCAGGGCAGCAUUUGAUUUUCUUCCCAAUCAGCUCCCACCUUCCCAACUGGACCCAAUUAUUUAUUAUCUAUAUUGAUUGUCUUUUUGUCUCCCCACCCCCCACUUCACUAGUAUUCUGAGGUGUUUUGCAGCAAGUCUACUCCCAUCUCAUCUCAAAGGGAGCACAGGGGAAUAUGGCAUGGCUAGAAUAUGGCAUGGGGAUAAGGAGAAACAAAGCAAGGAGACCCAGAUCUCAGAUAACCACCCACAAUUUUUGUUGGUCCUGGGUACUUGUGAGCCAGAUACCUAAUCAGAGGUGCCAUCUAACUAUCCACAAAUCUGAGCUAGCUGUUUCUCUGAAGUGAAGGGACAUUCUAGAUGACUUAUGUGCUUAGACAGCUAGCCUCAGUGUCACACUCCAGUUUCCUCUGAGUAGGCACCAACCACUACAGCAAAUUUUGACCAAGAAUAGAAACAAGUUGCACCACGCCUAGAAGUUUAAACAGUGCUCAGUCCAUCCUAAAGCAUAUCCCAAAACUUUCCACAAGCAUGGAAAUUAACUUCAGCUCCACAUUUCUACUGAGCAAAAUCACUGGUAUAGGUAAACCCUAGAUGAACAUUAAGCAGAUACAGGCACUUGUCUUCCAUGUUUAUAAAAAUUAUGUAUUUAUAAACACAAAAAUAAAAUAAGCACAGAUUCAUUUUGUCUAUUGUUUUGGGACAAAAUUAUUUUCAAAAUAUUGAAAGGUUAGACUUGAACUUCACUCAGUGUGAAAUAGCCCAUAUUGUGACUACUUAAUCUAUCCAACUGUUUUGACUUUAAAAUUUGUAUGUAGCUGAAUCAUUAUUCAAAAUAACUUACACUGAUGAAAAUGGAUAAUAGUCAAUUACUUAUAUUUGCUUAAUUUCUGAC
RNAcentral lists this long non-coding RNA (1354 nucleotides) under Marmota monax (woodchuck). The record is from RNAcentral. Lineage: Eukaryota; Metazoa; Chordata; Mammalia; Rodentia; Sciuridae.